Molecule: ribosomal RNA, 497 nt
Filed under: uncultured bacterium
Lineage: Bacteria
Description: partial 16S ribosomal RNA
Rfam family: Bacterial small subunit ribosomal RNA
Source: RNAcentral
GAUGAACGCUGGCGGCGUGCCUAAUACAUGCAAGUCGAGCGAACAGACGAGGAGCUUGCUCCUCUGACGUUAGCGGCGGACGGGUGAGUAACACGUGGAUAACCUACCUAUAAGACUGGGAUAACUUCGGGAAACCGGAGCUAAUACCGGAUAAUAUAUUGAACCGCAUGGUUCAAUAGUUCAAGACGGUUUUGCUGUCACUUAUAGAUGGAUCCGCGCCGCAUUAGCUAGUUGGUAAGGUAACGGCUUACCAAGGCGACGAUGCGUAGCCGACCUGAGAGGAUGAUCGGACACACUGGAAAUGAGACACGGUCCAGACUCCGACGGGAGGCAGCAGUAGGGAAUAUUGCGCAAGGGGCGAAAGCGUGAUAGAGCAAAAUCGCGUGAGUGAUGAAGGACUUCGGAUGGUAAAGCGCUGUUGUUAGGAAAGAAAAAAAGCAGGUUUAACCAUGAUCGUAAUGACGGUACCUAAAGAAUAAGCACCGGCUAACUACGUG